This 75-nucleotide transfer RNA is filed under the name Candidatus Bathyarchaeota archaeon. Its description in RNAcentral is "tRNA-Gly". It matches the Rfam family "tRNA". Rfam says of the family: Transfer RNA (tRNA) molecules are approximately 80 nucleotides in length. Lineage: Archaea; Thermoproteati; Candidatus Bathyarchaeota. RNAcentral also lists the same sequence under 1 other name. The record is from RNAcentral.
GCGGCUGUGGUCUAGACUGGUCUAGGACAGGGGCCCCCCAAGCCCCUAACCCGGGUUCAAAUCCCGGCAGCCGCA